CCUACGGGAGGCAGCAGUGGGGAAUAUUGCACAAUGGGCGAAAGCCUGAUGCAGCAACGCCGCGUGAGCGAUGAAGGCCUUCGGGUCGUAAAGCUCUGUCCUCAAGGAAGAUAAUGACGGUACUUGAGGAGGAAGCCCCGGCUAACUACGUGCCAGCAGCCGCGGUAAUACGUAGGGGGCUAGCGUUAUCCGGAAUUACUGGGCGUAAAGGGGGCGUAGGUGGUUUCUUAAGUCAGAGGUGAAAGGCGACGGCUCAACCGUAGUAAGCCUUUGAAACUGGGGAACUUGAGUGCAGUAGAGGAGAGUGGAAUUCCUAGUGUAGCGGUGAAAGGCGUAGAUAUUAGGAGGAACACCAGUUGCGAAGGCGGCUCUCUGGACUGUAACUGACACUGAAGCACGAAAGCGUGGGUAUCGAACAGGAGUAGAUACCCUAGUAGUC
Molecule: ribosomal RNA, 439 nt
Filed under: uncultured bacterium
Lineage: Bacteria
Description: partial 16S ribosomal RNA
Rfam family: Bacterial small subunit ribosomal RNA
Source: RNAcentral